This 519-nucleotide ribosomal RNA is filed under the name Triticum aestivum (bread wheat). RNAcentral describes it as "partial small subunit ribosomal RNA". The record is from RNAcentral. Lineage: Eukaryota; Viridiplantae; Streptophyta; Magnoliopsida; Poales; Poaceae.
AUGAACCAUGGGACAAGUGCUCCAAAACUAAGGAUCUUGGCUGCAAUGAUUCUUGGUUUGACAUGUAGUUCCUCUGCUUGUGAGAGGAACUGGAGUGUAUUUGAUCAAGUUCACACAAAGAGAUGCAGCAGGAUGCUGCAUGACAAGAUGAGUGACCCUGUUUCCAUCAAGUUCAACUCCAAGUUGAAGGACAAGAAACUAAACAAACGCAAGGACCCCAUUGAGAAGCAGGUGGUAGAUGUUUUAGAAGAUGAUGAGAAUGAAUGGAUCACUGGUGUAGUGCCAAACGGUGAUGAAGAACAAGGUGAAGAUCAAGAUCAAGAAAUUCCGUAUGCAAGCUCGCAUGCUGGACCAGGAACUUCUGCUAUUAAUCCACUUAAAAGGAAGAGGGGUGUCUAUGGUAAGAAGAAGAAGAUGAUGAUCCCUGUUACUCCUCAAGAAGAUCUGAUCUCUGCUUCCUCUGCUUCAGAAAGUGACGACGGCGAGGACACCGACAUGAGUUCUGGUUCUGACAUGUGA